UGGCGGACGGGUGAGUAAUGUCUGGGAAACUGCCUGAUGGAGGGGGAUAACUACUGGAAACGGUAGCUAAUACCGCAUAACGUCGCAAGACCAAAGAGGGGGACCUUCGGGCCUCUUGCCAUCAGAUGUGCCCAGAUGGGAUUAGCUAGUAGGUGGGGUAACGGCUCACCUAGGCGACGAUCCCUAGCUGGUCCGAGAGGAUGGCCAGCCACACUGGAACUGAGACACGGUCCAG
This 235-nucleotide ribosomal RNA is filed under the name uncultured Enterobacterales bacterium. Its description in RNAcentral is "partial 16S ribosomal RNA". It matches the Rfam family "Bacterial small subunit ribosomal RNA", at positions 96 to 334 of the family's 1533-position model. Lineage: Bacteria; Pseudomonadati; Pseudomonadota; Gammaproteobacteria; Enterobacterales. The record is from RNAcentral.